AACGCACAUUGCGCUCCUCGGCUCCGCCGGGGAGCAUGCCUGUUCGAGCGUCAUUUCAAACCCUCAAGCUCGGCUCUGCUAGGCUUGGCUUUGGGCGUCGAGCCCCCCGUCGUUUCGAAGGGGAGGGCUCGAGUCCCGAAUGACUUUGGCGGCGACCCCGAUCUCCGAGUGCACAAGACCGCGCUUACGGAGAGUUUCGGGAGUCGUGUGCCCCCAAAAACUUCCCGCGAGGGAAACAACCCCCAGAGAUUGACCUCGGAUCAGGUAGGGAUACCCGCUGAACUUAA
Molecule: unclassified non-coding RNA, 287 nt
Filed under: uncultured fungus
Lineage: Eukaryota; Fungi
Description: partial contains 5.8S ribosomal RNA, internal transcribed spacer 2, and large subunit ribosomal RNA
Source: RNAcentral